Molecule: long non-coding RNA, 1086 nt
Organism: Pocillopora damicornis (cauliflower coral)
Lineage: Eukaryota; Metazoa; Cnidaria; Anthozoa; Scleractinia; Pocilloporidae
Source: RefSeq, a predicted model, not a curated record
UCAAGGAUAUCCAUACAUUAUUCAGCAAACAGGUAGUGAGAAUAAGGGAAAGGGAACCUCAGGACCCACUCCCCUCCCCCCUUGUAGCUACGUCCAUGGUAAGAGAUGAUGUUUCUCAGAAAUACAAACCUGCAGUAAAUGGUGUUUUUUUUUGUACUAGUCACCCCAAGUUCGCCCCCAGAAGCUGCUCAAAGUCACUACUGGGGAUGGGUCGUCUUUGGAGUUGCCGUAGCACUUGUUCUUCUAUCCAUCGUCAUUUUAAUUCUCGGAGUAAUUUCCAAGCGAGUGAUGAACAAUAGGAAAAGGCGAGAAAUUUCAGGAGUCCGUGAGCUGACUGAAUUAAGUACUACUCAUCCAGUGGCGGAACCCAAUCCCGUUGAAAUCGAGCCUUGAGUGGAGAAACAAUAACUUACUGUUAAUUUAUGAUUGUGAAACCGACGACAUUUCUUAUCCCGUCCCGAGAACCGCGAUCCUUCAUGCGAUGUUAUCGCUUGGUUCUUGAUCAUUAGAUCGAUAGAGUGGACGUGCUAAAUGUGACGGAGGUCUGGGAAGAGAUAGCAAGAGAUAGCCUGCAUUAUUCCUCCCCAUAUACCCGCCAUUUUUUGCUGACUGGUGUUAUCGGCAGUAACCACAAAGAGUCUAAGAGAGUCUUACAUUCUGAAUAAAACGUCACUUCCUUGACAUCUAAAUGGCUGUUUAUACAAGUAAGUUAGGAAAAUUCAGGAAAAACGACUUUCUGUUAAACCUGGAAAGUAACGAUUCUAUGGCCGACCGGUAACUUCACCUUGCGAUAUUUAAAAAUUGAGGAAACUAAGAAGUUAAAAGUCGUGCGUACAUACUUUUGCUUUGUUGCGUUUUGUACCACUUUUAGCCGUAUAGAGGAGAUUAUUUUUCAUUAAAAAAGAGUCGUCUUUAUAAUGUUCAUCCGCCCACUGUCUGUGCAAAUUAAAAGGAAAGAUAACAUUCUAGUGGCGUUUGCUCUGCUAGGCACGUUGAAUUUUUAUCGCCGCGUUAAAAAUAAAUGAUUUUUGUCUGCUGUAUUAAGUAGAUUUGAAACAAAAACGAUUGAGGUAACUUUCGAUUGAA